CGCCAACCAGCAGAAGGAGAGCAUGGAGCAGUUCAUCAUCAGCCAGCUAACCAGAACACAUGAUGUUUUAAAGAAGGCAAGCACUAACUUAGAGGAACCAUGCAAGAAGCGCAGCCACCAGAAGUCCUUAAAACAGCAGGAAACGUGGGCCUGUCCCCCUUUUGUGCAGCUACCUAUCUGCUGAGGAGCUUCUGGGCCUCAUUCCUCCAAGUCCACGGGAGGGUCCAGAAGAGGGGGUCAGAGAUGUAUCCUGGUGGAGCUGGGAGAAAACCAGAAAGCCUUUCUGACAGCUAUGGAAUACCGUUAGCCAAGGUCCACUUGGCCCAGCACUAAGCAAAAGAUGCGUAGUUUGCAUAGAAGGUUUUGUGAUACUGCUUCCCAACAGCCCCAGCAGCUUGGGAACUAGCAACAACACAUUUCUUGCCUCAUCAGCUGUCCUGAGAUGGAAAACUCAGUGGAUAUAGGACCCUGAUUACGAUGAAUGGGGCACAUGGUCCCAAUGCUGGAGCUCCUCUGGCAGGUUCUAAAAGCACACUACUGAGCAGCGGUGCCCUGCUGGACACUGCUGGCAGGGGCUCAGUGAGCACUACUCACAGAUCCACACCUGACCC
RNAcentral lists this long non-coding RNA (611 nucleotides) under Homo sapiens (human). RNAcentral's name for it is "HSALNT0014715". Lineage: Eukaryota; Metazoa; Chordata; Mammalia; Primates; Hominidae. The record is from RNAcentral.